Paramormyrops kingsleyae is the source of this 276-nucleotide non-coding RNA. Lineage: Eukaryota; Metazoa; Chordata; Actinopteri; Osteoglossiformes; Mormyridae. The record is from RefSeq and is a predicted model, not a curated record.
GUUGAAUUUGAGCUUUGCAGGCUGCACCCGAAUCGAGCUGUGAAGCAGCUCCUUGCUGGUUUGCCAGGUCCAGCCUGAGCCUGAGCAGUUUGCUGUAACCAGAACCCAGCCAGGCGUGAGCGAUUCGCCCUCAGUAAACCCACUGCAUCCCAAUCAAAACAAGGCGUGAAAUGUGCUUCAGAGAGGACUUCUAAUAUUCAGGGAAAUAUCUCCUCUCACUGGAGCAUGAAGUCGCAGCCUGGGCUGAUAGGCAAGCCAUACAAAAAGAAAACACAC